AGCUCUUUGUCUGCGCCAACAAGCUACGUCCUAUGGGUCUCGGGACGAGACACAUAUGUGUUGGUGACGCCAUGCUCGCAGGAGUUGGACUUGGCGUUUAAGCCCGGGGUGAAACCAGGAGACAUGAGCGCGUAAUUAACGAACUCAGCGACACCAACGUGGCAGAGUGCGCGUUACCCUGUAGAAGCGGUCCCUGUGCAGCGCAUUUGAUGUAGUAGAAUGAGGAGCAGCAUGCGCAUACGUACUAACCUAUGGCAGCUGAAUACAGCCAUUAUUGCUGCCGGUUCUUGGCAGCCGGUACGUACCAACCCUUUCCCAGCCAUUCCCAUUCAGCUUCAGCUUGGCCGCUAUUUUAACGGGUAUUUCCAUGCUUUGACGAGGUUUGUUGUGUCCAUUGUGGUUCCC
Molecule: long non-coding RNA, 405 nt
Filed under: Volvox carteri
Lineage: Eukaryota; Viridiplantae; Chlorophyta; Chlorophyceae; Chlamydomonadales; Volvocaceae
Description: long non-coding RNA (VCAR_LNC001139)
Source: RNAcentral